AGCAUGUGGUUUAAUUCGAUGCAACGCGAAGAACCUUACCAGGUCUUGACAUCCAACGAAUCCUUCUGAAAGGAAGGAGUGCCUUCGGGAGCGUUGAGACAGGUGGUGCAUGGUUGUCGUCAGCUCGUGUCGUGAGAUGUUGGGUUAAGUCCCGCAACGAGCGCAACCCUUGCUAUUAGUUGCUAACAGGUUAAGCUGAGCACUCUAAUGGGACUGCCGGUGACAAGCCGGAGGAAGGUGGGGAUGACGUCAAAUCAUCAUGCCCUUUAUGACCUGGGCUACACACGUGCUACAAUGGAUGGUACAGAGAGCAGCGAGGCAGCGAUGUGGAGCGAAUCUCAAAAAGCCAUUCUCAGUUCGGAUUGGAGUCUGCAACUCGACUCCAUGAAGUCGGAAUCGCUAGUAAUCGCGAAUCAGCAUGUCGCGGUGAAUGCGUUCCCGGGCCUU
RNAcentral lists this ribosomal RNA (447 nucleotides) under uncultured Syntrophomonas sp. RNAcentral describes it as "bacterial SSU rRNA". It matches the Rfam family "Bacterial small subunit ribosomal RNA", at positions 936 to 1382 of the family's 1533-position model. Lineage: Bacteria; Bacillati; Bacillota; Clostridia; Eubacteriales; Syntrophomonadaceae. The record is from RNAcentral.